CGUUCAGCACAAAACAAAUGAGAUUAGGCUCCGCCUACCGCGAUCAUUUGAAGACAAAAAUAAGCCCUCAUUGACAUUCAUGAGCAUGAAGAUAUUCAUAAUCCGGCCUUUUCAUUGGCUAAGAGCGUCAUUAAUACGCGAUUUCCCCGAUUCUUUGUCAUCGAUACUAGUGGUAUCGUGUUACAGAAUUAAUUAUUCAUUUGACCUCAUUACGUCAUCUAAUUUAUUCAUUAUGAAACUUUUCUUUCCACACAAAAAUGGACCUACGAACACUCCGGUGAGUUGAGUUUGAAGAACAAGAAAAACAGUAGAGGUCUACCCGGUACCUAUGGUUAAACAUGAUGAUCAUAAGUGCAUGUAUCAUUUUGCAGAUUCUCAUCCAGGAUGAUGCAGCUCUACAAUUUCCAUGGAGGUGAUUGAUGAUGAUAAACAAUUGGUGAAGUAGGCCUAAUAGAACAGUGAUAGGACCACAAAGAGAAAUACAACCUACAGCAGUUAUAUGAGACUGGUGUAACAGAUGUUUUCAUUCAAGAAAUCCAACAAAUUGAAGAGUGACUUAGCUUAGGAAGCACUUGAUAAAGAUGGAAAAGUUUUUUUUUUUUUCAAGUCCAAU
This is a long non-coding RNA of Lytechinus pictus (painted urchin), 613 nucleotides long. RefSeq lists it as uncharacterized. The record is from RefSeq and is a predicted model, not a curated record. Lineage: Eukaryota; Metazoa; Echinodermata; Echinoidea; Temnopleuroida; Toxopneustidae. The transcript has 4 exons.